RNAcentral lists this ribosomal RNA (1197 nucleotides) under Triticum aestivum (bread wheat). RNAcentral describes it as "partial small subunit ribosomal RNA". The record is from RNAcentral. Lineage: Eukaryota; Viridiplantae; Streptophyta; Magnoliopsida; Poales; Poaceae.
AUGAGCAUCUCCGUGAAUGGGCAGUCGGUGGUGCCGCCGGGGUUCCGGUUCCACCCAACGGAGGAGGAGCUGCUCACCUACUACCUCGCCAAGAAGGUGGCGUCCCAGCGCAUCGACCUCGACGUCAUCCGCGACGUCGAUCUCAACAAGCUCGAGCCAUGGGACAUCCAAGAGCGGUGCCGGAUCGGAACUGGCCCGCAGAACGACUGGUAUCUGUUCAGCCACAAGGACAAGAAGUACCCGACGGGGACACGCACCAACCGCGCCACCGCCGCCGGGUUCUGGAAGGCCACCGGCCGGGACAAGGCCAUCUACUCCGCCGCCGGGUCCGGCCGCAUCGGCAUGCGCAAGACGCUCGUCUUCUACAAGGGCCGCGCCCCGCACGGCCACAAGUCCGACUGGAUCAUGCACGAGUACCGCCUCGACGACGCCGCACCCGUCAACCCCACGGCCGGCGAGGCCACCUACUACUCCAGUGACUCAUUCCCGAUACAAGGCCUAGCCGGCGAACAGCCGUCGGCGCCGGAGGAUGGGUGGGUCAUCUGCCGGGUGUUCAAGAAGAAGAACAUCGUCGUGCAGCGCCAAGCUGGCCAGAACCGCGGCGGUGGCGGCGCAGCGUUCAGCAAGCUAGUCGGCGCCGGUGCCAUGGAGAGCAGCCAGAGCAACUGCUCGUCGACGUUGACGGCUGGCAGCGACCGCGCCAAGGCGCAGAUGAUGCACUGCUCCGCCAGCGACGACGGGCUCGACCACAUCCUCAGCUACAUGGGCCGCUCAUCCACGGCAUCGUGCAGGCAGGAGACCAAGCCCACCAACCCAUCAUCGUCAGCGUUGGACCACCUGAUCAACAGCGCGUGCCACAGCGGCAGCAGCACCCUGUACGACAAGUUCAUGAAGCUCCCGCCGCUCGAGCACGUCGUCCCCAACGGGAUCCUUCCGCCGCCGGCCGAGUACGGCGGCGACUGGGACGAUCUUGACCGGCUGACGGCGUACGAGCUCAACAGCCUCUCUGACCCCACGUUGGUCAAGACGACGAACGGCAUGUCCUAUAUCGCCGACGAGCUCGGUGGCGCCACCUCCUACUCUGGCGGUGUCUCGCUGUACACUCCCUCCGUCACCGGGGCCGGCGACGGCGACCUGUGGAGCCUGACGCGGCCGGUGUCCAUCGCUACACGCAGACUUGACGAGGUCCUGUUUUAA